Molecule: ribosomal RNA, 515 nt
Filed under: uncultured bacterium
Lineage: Bacteria
Description: partial 16S ribosomal RNA
Rfam family: Bacterial small subunit ribosomal RNA
Source: RNAcentral
GAUGAACGCUGGCGGCGUGCCUAAUACAUGCAAGUCGAGCGAAUGGAUUAAGAGCUUGCUCUUAUGAAGUUAGCGGCGGACGGGUGAGUAACACGUGGGUAACCUGCCCAUAAGACUGGGAUAACUCCGGGAAACCGGGGCUAAUACCGGAUAACAUUUUGAACCGCAUGGUUCGAAAUUGAAAGGCGGCUUCGGCUGUCACUUAUGGAUGGACCCGCGUCGCAUUAGCUAGUUGGUGAGGUAACGGCUCACCAAGGCAACGAUGCGUAGCCGACCUGAGAGGGGGAUCGGCCACACUGGGACUGAGACACGGCCCAGACUCCUACGGGAGGCAGAAGUAGGGAAUCUUCCGCAAUGGACAAAAGUCUGACGGAGCAACGCCGCGUGAGUGAUGAAGGCUUUCGGGUCGUAAAACUCUGUUGUUAGGGAAGAACAAGUGCUAGUUGAAUAAGCUGGCACCUUGACGGUACCUAACCAGAAAGCCACGGCUAACUACGUGCCAGCAGCCGCCGUAA